Molecule: ribosomal RNA, 403 nt
Filed under: uncultured bacterium
Lineage: Bacteria
Description: partial 16S ribosomal RNA
Rfam family: Bacterial small subunit ribosomal RNA
Source: RNAcentral
GACGAACGCUGGCGGCGUGCCUAAUACAUGCAAGUCGAACGCAGUGGGGACGGGUGAGUAACACGUGGGUAACCUCCCAUCAGAGGGGAUAACACUUGGAAACAGGUGCUCAACCGAUACUGCUGGAUGAACCCGCGGUGCAUUAGCUAGUUGGUGAGGUAACGGCGCACCAAGGCCACGAUGAAUCGCCGACAUGACAGGAUGAUCAGUAAAACUGGGACUGAGACACGGCCCAGACUCCUACGGGAGGAAGCAGUAGGGAAUCUUCGGCAAUGGACGAAAGUCUGACCGAGCAACGCCGCGUGAGUGAAGAAGGUUUUCGGAUCGUAAAGCUCUGUAGUUAGAGAAGCGGUAUCUAACCAGAAAGCCACGGCUAACUACGUGCCAGCAGCCGCGGUAAUUC